UACGUAUGGUGCAAGCGUUAUCCGGAUUUACUGGGUGUAAAGGGAGCGCAGGCGGAAGGCUAAGUCUGAUGUGAAAGCCCGGGGCUCAACCCCGGUACUGCAUUGGAAACUGGUCAUCUAGAGUGUCGGAGGGGUAAGUGGAAUUCCUAGUGUAGCGGUGAAAUGCGUAGAUAUUAGGAGGAACACCAGUGGCGAAGGCGGCUUACUGGACGAUCACUGACGCUGAGGCUCGAAAGCGUGGGGAGCAAACAGG
This 253-nucleotide ribosomal RNA is filed under the name Roseburia inulinivorans DSM 16841. RNAcentral's name for it is "partial 16S ribosomal RNA". It matches the Rfam family "Bacterial small subunit ribosomal RNA", at positions 524 to 776 of the family's 1533-position model. The record is from RNAcentral. Lineage: Bacteria; Bacillati; Bacillota; Clostridia; Lachnospirales; Lachnospiraceae.